CCUCAUAGCAUUUCUUCCCUAUUGACAGAGCUUUACGACUCGAAAGCCUUCAUCACUCACGCGGCGUCGCUGCAUCAGGGUUUCCCCCAUUGUGCAAAAUUCCUCA
RNAcentral lists this ribosomal RNA (106 nucleotides) under uncultured bacterium. RNAcentral's name for it is "partial 16S ribosomal RNA". The record is from RNAcentral.